CGGUGGAGCAUGUGGUUUAAUUUCGAAGCAACGCGAAGAACCUUACCAGGCCUUGACAUGCAGAGAACUUUCCAGAGAUGGAUUGGUGCCUUCGGGAACUCUGACACAGGUGCUGCGUGGCUGUCGUCAGCUCGUGUCGUGAGAUGUUGGGUUAAGUCCGUAACGAGCGCAACCCUUGUCCUUAGUUACCAGCACGUUAUGGUGGGCACUCUAAGGAGACUGCCGGUGACAAACCGGAGGAAGGUGGGGAUGACGUCAAGUCAUCAUGGCCCUUACGGCCUGGGCUACACACGUGCUACAAUGGUCGGUACAAAGGGUUGCCAAGCCGCGAGGUGGAGCUAAUCCCAUAAAACCGAUCGUAGUCCGGAUCGCAGUCUGCAACUCGACUGCGUGAAGUCGGAAUCGCUAGUAAUCGUGAAUCAGAAUGUCACGGUGAAUACGUUCCCGGGCCUU
This 453-nucleotide ribosomal RNA is filed under the name uncultured Pseudomonas sp. RNAcentral describes it as "bacterial SSU rRNA". It matches the Rfam family "Bacterial small subunit ribosomal RNA", at positions 930 to 1382 of the family's 1533-position model. Lineage: Bacteria; Pseudomonadati; Pseudomonadota; Gammaproteobacteria; Pseudomonadales; Pseudomonadaceae. The record is from RNAcentral.